RNAcentral lists this ribosomal RNA (486 nucleotides) under uncultured bacterium. Its description in RNAcentral is "partial 16S ribosomal RNA". It matches the Rfam family "Bacterial small subunit ribosomal RNA", at positions 30 to 507 of the family's 1533-position model. The record is from RNAcentral.
AUUGAACGCUGGCGGCAGGCUUAACACAUGCAAGUCGAGCGGAAACGAUGUAGCUUGCUACAGGCGUCGAGCGGCGGACGGGUGAGUAACGCGUAGGAAUCUGCCUAGUAGUGGGGGACAACAUGUGGAAACGCAUGCUACUACCGCAUACGCCCUACGGGGGCAAGGAGGGGAUCUUCGGACCUUUCGCCAUUAGAUGAGUGUGCGUAGGAUUAGCUAGUUGGUAGGGUAAAGGCCUACCAAGGCGAUGAUCUUUAACUGGUCUGAGGGGGUGGCCAGUCACACUGGAACUGAGACACGGCCCAGACUCCUACGGGAGGCAGCAGUGGGGAAUAUUGCACAAUGGGCGCAAGCCUGAUCCAGCCAUGCCGCGUGUGUGAAGAAGGCCUUAGGGUUGUAAAGCACUUUCAGGGGUGAGGAAGGGUGUUUGGUUAAUAUCCAAACAUUUUGACGGUAGCCCCAGAAGAAGCACCGGCUAACUCUGUG